This is a long non-coding RNA of Zea mays, 924 nucleotides long. RefSeq lists it as uncharacterized. The record is from RefSeq and is marked validated. The transcript has 2 exons. Lineage: Eukaryota; Viridiplantae; Streptophyta; Magnoliopsida; Poales; Poaceae.
CGCCGAUCGAGUCCCUCCCCAUCUCCUACAACCGGCCGCCCUGCUCGUUCUCCCUAGCUGCGAUGUGGAGCUCGCCCUGGACGAUCGUCCUUGCCCCUCCUCUCUGAUCUGCGUGCAGGGGUUUCCCUCCCAUGGCGCCUGGUCUUCUUCCCUUGACUCCAUGCCGAGCGCCCCAGUCGAGCUCGUCCUGGCUCCAGCUUCUUCCUUGGACGGCGGAGCCCUCCCAUUCCUGCAGCAGGCCAGCGUCCCUCUCUCCAUCAUCUUCUCUGCUUGGUUCCUGGCGAGCUCCCCCUGCUCUUCUGCUCGCCCUGGCCCUGUGCCAUUUUUCCAUUCCUGCGGCAAGCACCAGUCCCUCCCCACGCCAACAUCCCUUUCCUACGGACGCUGCCCCUCUCUGGUUUCUGGUGGCCGGCCACCUCUGCUGCUCCCAUGGUGAUCUAUAAAUCCCUCUGUUGUUUUACUAGUCUGGUUAAUACCCUGCUGAUGUGAAGUUUUAUGUGUGUUGAUGUGUACGAUAUGGAGUAAAAUCUCUGGAGAAUUAGGUGGAGGAGAAGGUUAAGUUCAACGCUCCUUAGGUGUUCUAUGAAGUGCUUGAACUGAAGUUCGUUGUCGUUCUGUUCACCGCGGUUCGUUAAUUGAUCACGUGAUGCGGACGACAAGAGCCGAGUUGAUCCCAAAAUGAUGCUGGUGAACGAACCUGAAGCUUGGAUGAUCUGGUCAAGUACCAGGACGAGAGAUGCUCCCCAAGCGGACAUCAUCUAACAACACUGACUUAGUGUUAUCUCAGACAAGCCCCGGUGUAUUUGCCACCUCCUUCUGUUUUAAAAACUUUUAUCACUUACCUGCUGUAUUAGGUGAUAGGAGUUGUGUGAAUAAACAAUUGAUGCAUUAUCAUUCCUUGGAAUUUGAUUAUCCUCCUUGCUA